GGAUUGUGGCUCAGUGGGAGAGCGCCUGCCUCGCACAUAUGAGGCACUGGAUUCAAUCCUCAGCACCA
Molecule: transfer RNA, 68 nt
Filed under: Marmota monax (woodchuck)
Lineage: Eukaryota; Metazoa; Chordata; Mammalia; Rodentia; Sciuridae
Description: tRNA.Ala
Source: RNAcentral